Monodelphis domestica (gray short-tailed opossum) is the source of this 1376-nucleotide non-coding RNA. Lineage: Eukaryota; Metazoa; Chordata; Mammalia; Didelphimorphia; Didelphidae. The record is from the annotation of a RefSeq genome assembly.
AGGUGAGCAAUUACCAGUCUUUUUCUAUCUCUACUAUUUUUUCACUACUCUUUUCACUGAACAGACUUGUAGGCACAUCUUCCCACCUAGCUUUUUUUUUUCUGUAACACUCAUUGGAAAUUAAUUCAUUGUCCAAAUUCUUUACAAAUAAGAACACUGUGGUCAAGAGAAAAAAAAAAACACAAUGUCUUUUACAUAAAAGGUAGUAAGUAAUCAAGCCAGUAUAAAACUAGAUCUUUUCCCUCCAAAUGGCAGGCUUGUCCUGUGUAACAUACUAAGGACACUAAGGUAUUAUAAUCUUAGGUAAUUAAGCUUCUUUAAGCUUCAGGAAUAUAAAUUAUCCCAAAAGAACAGUAUUUCAGGUGAUUUCUAAAGUAUCUAACAUUCUAUGGUCCUAUAAUUAAAGAAUAAAGAUGGUAGUUCCUCAUGGAACACGUUUUCAAUAAUUCUGUAGUUUAUUCGAUGGAAACAGCACUUUCAUUUUCAAAAAAAUCUUCAGGUAAAAACACUUGUGAAACUAAAGAAUUGAGACUGUGAGGAGUGCUGGGCUACAGACAUGAUUCUCAUUGGCUAGGGAGAAUGAUGAAGAAGUUUGUUUCCUAGAACAGAAGAGGAAAGAGACAGGAAAUAGUUGCCCUGACUGAAGAAUCCAGUCAUUAUCUUAGGUCCCAAAGCAGAAUCCUCUUUGAAGCUGGGUGAGAAAAAAAUGGUGCCAUCCCUGGGAGCCUCAUUAGUGAUGAUGUACUUCCAACUAGUCCGUAAGUUGGGGAUCAGAGGUGGGAUGAGGGAGCUACUACCUGGAUUGGUUGUACAAGGCGAAUAUAAAUUCUGAAGAAGAAUGACUUGGUGUUGCCUUUCUGCAGGGGUUACUGGCCAGUCUAAGGUACAGCAGAGCCCACAAUUCUUGCGGGUCCAGAUGGGAGGCACAGCCAUCAUCAACUGCAGUUACACAGACAGUAGUUUUGACUACUUCCUCUGGUACCGACAGGAUCCUGGAAAAGGUCCCACAUUGUUGAUAGCAGUUCGUUCGAACAAGGAUUUGGUGGAGGACGGAAGAUUCACAGUCCAUCUGAAUAAAGAUGCCAAAUACUUCUUCCUGAACUUCAAAGUCUUGCAGCCUGAAGACGCAGGCACCUACCUCUGUGCAGCAAGUACACAGUGGUCCCCAGCCACCUGCAGCCUGUGCACAAACCUGAAGUUGGGGCUCCAGAUGGAGGGAGAGGGAAUCAAAAAAACUUUAAUAUAUUCUCUCAUUUGCCAAUGGAAGCAUAGAGACAAUACUCCUCAUAUAAGAAGAGUAUGAGAAGUUGGGCUUUAUGGUUGUUCUGUUAAAGCAAACUUUUUUGAUUGUGUAUCACAUUAGUACAUUUUUUUGU